RNAcentral lists this ribosomal RNA (119 nucleotides) under Triticum dicoccoides. The record is from RNAcentral. RNAcentral also lists the same sequence under 1 other name. Lineage: Eukaryota; Viridiplantae; Streptophyta; Magnoliopsida; Poales; Poaceae.
GGAUCCGAUCAUACCAGCACUAAAGCACCGGAUCCCAUCAGAACUCCGAAGUUAAGCGUGCUUGGGCGAGAGUAGUACUAGGAUGGGUGACCUCUUGGGAAGUCCUCGUGUUGCAUUCC